This 2103-nucleotide ribosomal RNA is filed under the name Citrobacter freundii. RNAcentral describes it as "partial 23S ribosomal RNA". It matches the Rfam family "Bacterial large subunit ribosomal RNA", at positions 861 to 2925 of the family's 2925-position model. The record is from RNAcentral. Lineage: Bacteria; Pseudomonadati; Pseudomonadota; Gammaproteobacteria; Enterobacterales; Enterobacteriaceae.
GAAAGCUAUUUAGGUAGCGCCUCGUGAAUUCAUCUUCGGGGUAGAGCACUGUUUCGGCUAGGGGGUCACCGACUUACCAAGCCGAUGCAAACUGCGAAUAUUUCCGAAGAUUGUUAUCACGGGAGACACCGGCGGUUUGCUAACGUCCGUCGUGAAGAGGGAACAACCCAGCCGCCAGCUAAGGUCCCAAAGUCAUGGUUAAGUGGGAAACGAUGUGAAGGCACAGACAGCCAGGAUGUUGGCUUAGAAGCAGCCAAUCAUUUAAAGGAAAGCGAAUAGCUGCAAAUGGUCGGAGGUCGGCCUGCGCGGAAGAUGUAACGGGGCUAAACGCUAUGCACCGAAGCUGCGGCAUGGCGACACUAUGGUGUUGUUGGGUAGUGGGAGGCGUUCUGUAAAGCCGUUGAAGGUGGCCUGUGAGGGGUUGCUGGAGGUAUCAGAAGUGCGAAAUGCUGACAUAAGUAACGAUAAUGCGGGUGAAAAACCGCACGCCGGAAGACCAAGGGUUCCUGUUCCAACGUUAAUCGGGGCAGGGUGAGUCGACCCCUAAGGCGAGGCCGAAAGGCGUAGUCGAUGGGAAACAGGUUAAUAUUCCUGUACUUGGUGUUACUGCGAAGGGGGGACGGAGAAGGCUAUGUUAGCCGGGCGACGGUUGUCCCGGUUUAAGCAUGUAGGCGGAGAUUCCAGGUAAAUCCGGAGUCUUGCUAACGCUGAGGUGUGAUGACGAGGCACUACGGUGCUGAAGUAACAAAUGCCCUGCUUCCAGGAAAAGCCUCUAAGCAUCAGGUAACACAAAAUCGUACCCCAAACCGACACAGGUGGUCAGGUAGAGAAUACCAAGGCGCUUGAGAGAACUCGGGUGAAGGAACUAGGCAAAAUGGUGCCGUAACUUCGGGAGAAGGCACGCUGAUAUGUAGGUGAAGUGAUUUACUCAUGGAGCUGAAAUCAGUCGAAGAUACCAGCUGGCUGCAACUGUUUAUUAAAAACACAGCACUGUGCAAACACGAAAGUGGACGUAUACGGUGUGACGCCUGCCCGGUGCCGGAAGGUUAAUUGAUGGGGUUAUCCGUAAGGAGAAGCUCUUGAUCGAAGCCCCGGUAAACGGCGGCCGUAACUAUAACGGUCCUAAGGUAGCGAAAUUCCUUGUCGGGUAAGUUCCGACCUGCACGAAUGGCGUAAUGAUGGCCAGGCUGUCUCCACCCGAGACUCAGUGAAAUUGAACUCGCUGUGAAGAUGCAGUGUACCCGCGGCAAGACGGAAAGACCCCGUGAACCUUUACUAUAGCUUGACACUGAACACUGGUCCUUGAUGUGUAGGAUAGGUGGGAGGCUUUGAAGUGUGGACGCCAGUCUGCAUGGAGCCAACCUUGAAAUACCACCCUUUAAUGGCUGGUGUUCUAACGUAGACCCGUAAUCCGGGUUGCGGACAGUGUCUGGUGGGUAGUUUGACUGGGGCGGUCUCCUCCUAAAGAGUAACGGAGGAGCACGAAGGUUAGCUAAUCCUGGUCGGACAUCAGGAGGUUAGUGCAAAGGCAUAAGCUAGCUUGACUGCGAGAGUGACGGCUCGAGCAGGUGCGAAAGCAGGUCUUAGUGAUCCGGUGGUUCUGAAUGGAAGGGCCAUCGCUCAACGGAUAAAAGGUACUCCGGGGAUAACAGGCUGAUACCGCCCAAGAGUUUCAUAUCGACGGCGGUGUUUGGCACCUCGAUGUCGGCUCAUCACAUCCUGGGGCUGAAGUAGGUCCCAAGGGUAUGGCUGUUCGCCAUUUAAAGUGGUACGCGAGCUGGGUUUAGAACGUCGUGAGACAGUUCGGUCCCUAUCUGCCGUGGGCGCUGGAGAAUUGAGGGGGGCUGCUCCUAGUACGAGAGGACCGGAGUGGACGCAUCACUGGUGUUCGGGUUGUCAUGCCAAUGGCAUUGCCCGGUAGCUAAAUGCGGAAGAGAUAAGUGCUGAAAGCAUCUAAGCACGAAACUUGCCCCGAGAUGAGUUCUCCCUGACCCUUUAAGGGUCCUGAAGGAACGUUGAAGACGACGACGUUGAUAGGUCGGGUGUGUAAGCGUAGCGAUACGUUGAGCUAACCGAUACUAAUGAACCGUGAGGCUUAACCUU